Physeter macrocephalus (sperm whale) is the source of this 107-nucleotide small nuclear RNA. NCBI's taxonomy places the organism in Eukaryota, Metazoa, Chordata, Mammalia, Artiodactyla, Physeteridae. The record is from Ensembl.
GUGCUCGCUUCGGCAGCACAUAUACUAAAAUUGGAACGAUACAGAGAAGAUUAGCGUGGCGCCUGCGCAAGGAUGAUACGCAAAUUCGUGAAGCAUUCAUAUUUCUU